GUAACAAAUGGAAUUUUAGUAAUAAUGCUUCUAAUUAAUUUGGCCACUUAUUAAUUUGUUCAGCAGACAUUUCUGAAGGUCAUGAAACCAGGCACAGUGCCAAGUAAGCACAAUGAUAUUCUCCAUUACAGAAACUAACAAUCAAGCUUGACAGCAGUCCUGUUGUUCUCCUGGUUUACUACUGAGUUCUAUCUUUGCAAGCAAAGUGGAGUAAUCAAGCCCUAUGAGACAGAUCUUCUUUCAUCAUAUGAGAGCCUAAGGAAACAGCUCCUUAUGGAAUGUCCUGAAAAGCACUGAGGAGGAAGAGGCCAGAGACGCAUCCACAGAGAAAUCAACAGAACAUAAUCGUAAA
Bos indicus x Bos taurus (hybrid cattle) is the source of this 352-nucleotide long non-coding RNA. The record is from Ensembl. Lineage: Eukaryota; Metazoa; Chordata; Mammalia; Artiodactyla; Bovidae.